CAAAUCUUUUUAUUUAUUUUUUCUUAGAUUAGCAAUCGUGUCCUCUAUGUGUUUUUCACACAUGUGCAAGAGCUCUUUGGAAAUGUGAUACUAAAGCAAGUGACAAAACCUCUUCGAUGGUCUAACAUGGCCACUAUGCCCACACUGCCAGAGACCCAGGAGAACAUCAAGGAGGAGAUCAGAAGACAGGAGUUUCUUUUGAAUUGUUUACAUCGAGAUCUGCAGGCUGGGAUAAAGGAUUUGU
Ailuropoda melanoleuca (giant panda) is the source of this 244-nucleotide long non-coding RNA. RefSeq lists it as uncharacterized. The record is from RefSeq and is a predicted model, not a curated record. Lineage: Eukaryota; Metazoa; Chordata; Mammalia; Carnivora; Ursidae. The transcript has 2 exons.